AACGAACGCUGGCGGCAUGCCUAACACAUGCAAGUCGAACGAGACCUUCGGGUCUAGUGGCGCACGGGUGCGUAACGCGUGGGAACCUGCCCUUAGGUUCGGAAUAACUCUCCGAAAGGGGUGCUAAUACCGGAUAAUGUCUUCGGACCAAAGAUUUAUCGCCUUUGGAUGGGCCCGCGUUGGAUUAGCUAGUUGGUAGGGUAAAAGCCUACCAAGGCGACGAUCCAUAGCUGGUCUGAGAGGAUGAUCAGCCACACUGGGACUAAGACACGGCCCAGACUCCUACGGGAGGCAGCAGUGGGGAAUAUUGGACAAUGGGCGAAAGCCUGAUCCAGCAAUGCCGCGUGAGUGAUGAAGGCCUUAGAGUUGUAAAGCUCUUUUACCCGGGAUGAUAAUGACAGUACCGGGAGAAUAAGCACCGGCUAACUCCGUG
Molecule: ribosomal RNA, 433 nt
Filed under: uncultured bacterium
Lineage: Bacteria
Description: partial 16S ribosomal RNA
Rfam family: Bacterial small subunit ribosomal RNA
Source: RNAcentral